Molecule: ribosomal RNA, 575 nt
Filed under: Aspergillus ellipticus
Lineage: Eukaryota; Fungi; Ascomycota; Eurotiomycetes; Eurotiales; Aspergillaceae
Description: eukaryotic LSU rRNA
Rfam family: Eukaryotic large subunit ribosomal RNA
Source: RNAcentral
AAAGAAACCAACCGGGAUUGCCUCAGUAACGGCGAGUGAAGCGGCAAGAGCUCAAAUUUGAAAGCUGGCCCCUUCGGGGUCCGCAUUGUAAUUUGCAGAGGAUGCUUCGGGUGUGGCCCCCGUCUAAGUGCCCUGGAACGGGCCGUCAGAGAGGGUGAGAAUCCCGUCUUGGGCGGGGUGUCCAUGCCCGUGUGAAGCUCCUUCGACGAGUCGAGUUGUUUGGGAAUGCAGCUCUAAAUGGGUGGUAAAUUUCAUCUAAAGCUAAAUACUGGCCGGAGACCGAUAGCGCACAAGUAGAGUGAUCGAAAGAUGAAAAGCACUUUGAAAAGAGAGUUAAACAGCACGUGAAAUUGUUGAAAGGGAAGCGCUUGCGACCAGACUCGCCCGCGGGGUUCAGCCGGCAUUCGUGCCGGUGUACUUCCCCGUGGGCGGGCCAGCGUCGGUUUGGGCGGCCGGUCAAAGGCCCCUGGAAUGUAGUGCCCUCCGGGGCACCUUAUAGCCAGGGGUGCAAUGCGGCCAGCCCGGACCGAGGAACGCGCUUCGGCUCGGACGCUGGCAUAAUGGUCGCAAACGAC